CUGCUGGUUCUCCUGAGCUCUGCCUCGUGCUCCAUCCUCCUUAGUAUGCAGCCAGUCACGGCACAACCAGUGACCAUGUGGAUGUUGGAGAGAGAGCUGGGGGUUAGCUCGUGUGCUGACUCAGUCUGAUGCUGCUAACUGAGCAGACAGCAGUAUAAUGACACCUACUGUUGGAAUACAAGCACUACUGUGCAGCAUGUUUAAAAUACCACCAAAAGCCAGAUGUGUGAAGCCUCAAAUAUUGAUACUGCAAGUUCAGCUUCAAAGACAAGUCAACCUUGGAUGGCACCACAAAGGAUCAGAAGAGUAGGGAAGAGAAUACCAGCAGAGACAGCUUUGAAAAUACCUUAUAUAGAUACAGCACCUUCUGAUGCACUGAAUGCAAGAGGACUGAAUCACAGGAUCUAUCCACUGUGAAGCAAAGAAAACUGAGUGCAUAGAGAAUGUCCUCCCAGUUCCUGCACUACACCUGAUCUGGCAGAUGAUGGAUGGGAUCUGCAUCUGUGGCUUGUUGACUCUGAUGAAGCACCAUGGCUUUGGGAACAGUUUGAGAUGAAUCAUCAAGGUCAAAUCAAACUCCAAGUGAUUUAUAACAUGGAAGAAUUAAGUUCGAUUCCUUCUAUAUCACAGGAACAUUAUGAGGAAUAUGAGAUUAUGCUAUUUUUGGAAACAAGUUUCUUGUGACUGAAAGAGGGCUACUCUUCGUGCUAUCCUCUCUGAUUCCUAGCAGAGAUGAGGAAGCCAAAGUAGUUAAUUAAGAGCUAUUCUUCUAACUGGAAAAGCCAAGAACUCCCCUCUAUGUUGGCACAUCGGAUUACCCUUUGAGCUUAUCACCUUCUCAGGAAGAGGUAGAAAAGGUAUAACAGGCUCAACUCUCUAACUGUGGUGUUAAUGAUUGGCUUGAGGCAUGGGAAGAGUGCUCUUUAAGUCAUAAAAGUUCCAAUCACACCCAGGUCUUCCUGAUCCAUGAAGAUAAGCUUUAAUGUGCCCACCCACUCCAUCCCAUAACAGGUUUUUCAAAACUUUCCACUCAAUUGUGCUUUACAGCACAUCCACCAAAGACUGAACAAGACAAAAUGUAUUCUUUGGUUCAUCAUGGAUGUCACCCUUCACAGCAGAAAGGUGUGGUCAGCAUUUGGCCCCAGGGCAAGAUGUUGCCUAUUUCUGUCACUGAGUCCACCAAGCAGUAUGUCUCUUCUCUGGAUUCACCCAUGUGUAUACGUGUGUCCAGGAAUCAGCUAUACUAUCCUGCUGUCCCUUGUCUCUCAUGCCUAUCCCACUCUCAGUUUUCAGGUUGGCCCCAUCUUCAGGCCCAACCUAUGCAGCAUACUUGACUCCAGUAAGAAACUGGUCUCUUGGGAUGAAACUACCUUUGGACUUUUACUUGCUUCCUGACCCUCAAGUGGCACAUGCAUCCCCAUCUUGUAUCCUGUUUUCCUGCUUGUUCCUGGAGAAAUGAGUCCUUCAUCACCAGCUGAUGAGAGGUGUCCCUCAUCACCAUCAACAGGUGUCCAAACACACCAUCAGAAAGAACUAGAUAUACUAAUCUCUGCUCUGAAAUAUCUUGUUCCCUUCUCUUCCUGCUUCCUUAAAAGUCUAAAGCCGUUCCCCAAGACUGUUUCUUUGGUCAGCCUUGAGUGGAUUUAAUUUGGAUCUCAAGCUAAAACCCCUCUUUGUGAGCUUCAGCUUAUUCUUAUUGGUAUAAUUAGUCUUGUUAGUUUUGUUAGUUAAUAUUGUGUUGCUUAUUAAUCAAGAUUUGCUUACUGUGCCCUAAUAACCCUAACUAAAUCUGACUAUACUAGGGGUGUGCAAUUCGGGUUUUUGGGUGAUUCGGCUCGGACCCGAGCUGAAUCACCCCUGUUCUGUUUUGUGCCCG
Hemicordylus capensis (graceful crag lizard) is the source of this 1876-nucleotide long non-coding RNA. RefSeq lists it as uncharacterized. NCBI's taxonomy places the organism in Eukaryota, Metazoa, Chordata, Lepidosauria, Squamata, Cordylidae. The record is from RefSeq and is a predicted model, not a curated record. The transcript has 7 exons.